CCUACGGGAGGCAGCAGUGGGGAAUUUUCCGCAAUGGGCGAAAGCCUGACGGAGCAACGCCGCGUGAGGGAUGAAGGCCUCUGGGCUGUAAACCUCUUUUCUCAAGGAAGAAGAUCUGACGGUACUUGAGGAAUAAGCCACGGCUAAUUCCGUGCCAGCAGCCGCGGUAAUACGGGAGUGGCAAGCGUUAUCCGGAAUUAUUGGGCGUAAAGCGUCCGCAGGCGGCCCUUCAAGUCUGCUGUUAAAACGUGGAGCUUAACUCCAUCAUGGCAGUGGAUACUGUUGGGCUUGAGUGUGGUAGGGGCAGAGGGAAUUCCCGGUGUAGCGGUGAAAUGCGUAGAUAUCGGGAAGAACACCAGUGGCGAAGGCGCUCUGCUGGGCCAUAACUGACGCUCAUGGACGAAAGCCAGGGGAGCGAAAGGGAUUAGAUACCCCUGUAGUCCUGGCCGUAAACGAUGAACACUAGGUGUCGGGGGAAUCGACCCCCUCGGUGUCGUAGCCAACGCGUUAAGUGUUCCGCCUGGGGAGUACGCACGCAAGUGUGAAACUCAAAGGAAUUGACGG
RNAcentral lists this ribosomal RNA (564 nucleotides) under uncultured bacterium. Its description in RNAcentral is "bacterial SSU rRNA". It matches the Rfam family "Bacterial small subunit ribosomal RNA", at positions 338 to 916 of the family's 1533-position model. The record is from RNAcentral.